RNAcentral lists this ribosomal RNA (495 nucleotides) under uncultured bacterium. RNAcentral's name for it is "partial 16S ribosomal RNA". It matches the Rfam family "Bacterial small subunit ribosomal RNA", at positions 28 to 507 of the family's 1533-position model. The record is from RNAcentral.
GACGAACGCUGGCGGCGUGCCUAAUACAUGCAAGUAGAACGCUGAAGGAGGAGCUUGCUUCUCUGGAUGAGUUGCGAACGGGUGAGUAACGCGUAGGUAACCUGCCUGGUAGCGGGGGAUAACUAUUGGAAACGAUAGCUAAUACCGCAUAAUAGCAGUUGUUGCAUGACAACUGUUUGAAAGGUGCAAUUGCACCACUACCAGAUGGACCUGCGUUGUAUUAGCUAGUUGGUGGGGUAACGGCUCACCAAGGCGACGAUACAUAGCCGACCUGAGUGGGUGAUCGGCCACACUGGGACUGAGACACGGCCCAGACUCCUACGGGAGGCAGCAGUAGGGAAUCUUCGGCAAUGGACGGAAGUCUGACCGAGCAACGCCGCGUGAGUGAAGAAGGUUUUCGGAUCGUAAAGCUCUGUUGUAAGAGAAGAACGAGUGUGAGAGUGGAAAGUUCACACUGUGACGGUAUCUUACCAGAAAGGGACGGCUAACUACGUG